UACGUAGGGGGCAAGCGUUAUCCGGAAUAACUGGGUGUAAAGGGUGAGUAGGCGGUUACUUAAGCCAUAUGGUAAAGCCCCGUGCUCAACAUGGGAAUUCAUAAGGAACUGGGUAGCUAGAGUACAGGAGAGGUAAGCGGAAUUCCUAGUGUAGCGGUGAAAUGCGUAGAUAUUAGGAAGAACACCAGUGGCGAAGGCGGCUUACUGGACUGAAACUGACGCUGAGUCACGAAAGCGUGGGGAGCAAACAGG
This 252-nucleotide ribosomal RNA is filed under the name uncultured bacterium. RNAcentral describes it as "partial 16S ribosomal RNA". It matches the Rfam family "Bacterial small subunit ribosomal RNA", at positions 524 to 776 of the family's 1533-position model. The record is from RNAcentral.